Molecule: ribosomal RNA, 496 nt
Filed under: uncultured bacterium
Lineage: Bacteria
Description: partial 16S ribosomal RNA
Rfam family: Bacterial small subunit ribosomal RNA
Source: RNAcentral
GACGAACGCUGGCGGCGUGCCUAAUACAUGCAAGUCGAACGGUGAAGAGAGGAUCUUGCUCUUCUUGGAUGAGUUGCGGACGGGUGAGUAACGCGUAGGUAACCUGCCUGGUAGCGGGGGAUAAGUAUAGGAAACGAUAUCUAAUACCGCAUAAAAUGGAGUAUCGCAUGAUAAUCCAUAGAAAGGUGCAAAUGCAUCACUACCAGAUGGACCUGCGUUGUAUUAGCUAGUUGGGGGGGUAACGGCCAACCAAGGCGACGAUCCAAAGCUGGCCGGAGAGGAUGGUGACCCACACUGGACCUGGGCCACGCUCCGGCCUCCUAGGGGGGCAGCCGGAGGGGAACUUUGGCAAUGGAGCGAAGGCUUACCGCGGAACGCCGGCGGAGGGGAGAAGGGUCUCGGGUCGGAAAAGUCCGUUGUAAGGGAAGAACGAGUGGGAGGGUGGAAAGUUCACGCUGUGACGGUACCUUAACAGAAAGCGACGGCUAACUACGUG